CAAUGUGCAGUUCUGAGAAGGGAUUCAGUGUGCCGUUGCUGGCUCUGAGAAGUAGGAGCCUUGUGCAAGGAUUCAGGAGAGGCCUCUAGAAACUGAGGAUGGCCCUCAACUGGCAAGCACAGGCAACUGAAUUCGGCCAGGCAUCUGGGUCCUGUGCUAGGGGCUAGGAAGACAAAGAGAAACAGAGUCACAUCCUCCCACAAAAAUCCAUGAGAUGUCGGAGAGCCGAACUUGUAAACAGCCAUCAUCAACACAAAGAAGGAUGCACUGAUGCUCUCUAGAGGCUCACAGGAAAUGAUUCAUGGGCAUAGAGGUGUGCAAUUUGCUUCCUGCCCCAGCCCUGACCCUGAGAUGCAGCAUGGAGGGAGUAGAGGGGUGGGGUUUGCGAAGUCACUUCCAGUCAUCGUGGGACCUUUAUGGAAACCUGGGCUCCACUCCACAGGAUGAGUCUCAACUGGAACCCUUGCCCAUUGGGCUCACUGUUCCAAUCUAAAGGGCAGGCUUUCCACUACUCUUUGGGACUUGUAGUUUGUGGGUUUUUUUCACAUGCACAUCAUCUUACUUACAGUUCCCCAAGAAUAAAAGCUUUCCAUCUCAA
This 598-nucleotide long non-coding RNA is filed under the name Homo sapiens (human). Its description in RNAcentral is "HSALNT0331959". The record is from RNAcentral. Lineage: Eukaryota; Metazoa; Chordata; Mammalia; Primates; Hominidae.